GGAAUAUUGCGCAAUGGAGGAAACUCUGACGCAGUGACGCCGCGUGCAGGAAGAAGGUUUUCGGAUUGUAAACUGCUUUAGACAGGGAAGAAAAAGACAGUACCUGUAGAAUAAGCUCCGGCUAACUACGUGCCAGCAGCCGCGGUAAUACGUAGGGAGCGAGCGUUAUCCGGAUUUAUUGGGUGUAAAGGGUGCGUAGACGGGAAGGUAAGUUGGUUGUGAAAUCCCCAGGCUUAACUUGGGAACUGCAACCAAAACUGUCUUUCUUGAGUGUUGGAGAGGAAAGUGGAAUUCCUAGUGUAGCGGUGAAAUGCGUAGAUAUUAGGAGGAACACCAGUGGCGAAGGCGACUUUCUGGACAAUAACUGACGUUGAGGCACGAAAGUGUGGGGAGCAAACA
Molecule: ribosomal RNA, 399 nt
Filed under: uncultured bacterium
Lineage: Bacteria
Description: bacterial SSU rRNA
Rfam family: Bacterial small subunit ribosomal RNA
Source: RNAcentral